ACUCCUACGGGAGGCAGCAGUGGGGAAUAUUGCACAAUGGGCGCAAGCCUGAUGCAGCCAUGCCGCGUGUGUGAAGAAGGCCUUCGGGUUGUAAAGCACUUUCAGUUGUGAGGAAGGUGGUGUCGUUAAUAGCGGCAUCAUUUGACGUUAGCAACAGAAGAAGCACCGGCUAACUCCGUGCCAGCAGCCGCGGUAAUACGGAGGGUGCGAGCGUUAAUCGGAAUUACUGGGCGUAAAGCGCAUGCAGGUGGUUUGUUAAGUCAGAUGUGAAAGCCCGGGGCUCAACCUCGGAACUGCAUUUGAAACUGGCAGACUAGAGUACUGUAGAGGGGGGUAGAAUUUCAGGUGUAGCGGUGAAAUGCGUAGAGAUCUGAAGGAAUACCGGUGGCGAAGGCGGCCCCCUGGGACAGAUACUGACACUCAGAUGCGAAAGCGUGGGGAGCAAACAGGAUUAGAUACCCUGGUAAGACAGAG
Molecule: ribosomal RNA, 474 nt
Filed under: uncultured bacterium
Lineage: Bacteria
Description: bacterial SSU rRNA
Rfam family: Bacterial small subunit ribosomal RNA
Source: RNAcentral